GACGAACGCUGGCGGCGUGCUUAACACAUGCAAGUCGAACGGUAAGGCCCUUCGGGGGACCCGAGUGGCGAACGGGCGAGUAACACGUGAGUAAUGUGCCCUCCACUCUGGGAUAAUAGCCGGAAACGGUGGCUAAUACCGGAUAUACACAUGUUCCUGCAUGGGUGUGUGUGCAAUGCUUUUGCGGUCUUGGCUCGACUCGCGGCCUAGGAGCUUGUUGGUGGGGGAUUGGCCUACCAAGGCCGCGAUGGGUAGCCGACCUGGGAGGGCGACCGGCCACACUGGGACUGCGAUACGGCCCAGAAUCCUACGGGAGGCAGCAGUGGAGAAUAUUGCACAAUGGCCGGGAGCCUGAGGCAGCGACGCCGCGUUCGUGAUGCCGGCCUUCGGGUUGUAAACAGCUUUCAGUAGAAACGUGGCGCAAGUGACGGUACCUACAGAAGAAGCACCGGCCAACUACGUG
This 463-nucleotide ribosomal RNA is filed under the name uncultured bacterium. RNAcentral's name for it is "partial 16S ribosomal RNA". It matches the Rfam family "Bacterial small subunit ribosomal RNA", at positions 28 to 507 of the family's 1533-position model. The record is from RNAcentral.